UACGGGAGGCAGCAGUGGGGAAUAUUGCGCAAUGGCCGAAAGGCUGACGCAGCGACGCCGUGUGUGGGAUGAAGGCCUUCGGGUCGUAAACCACUGUCGGGAGGGACGAAUGUCCGGCGGUCAAUAUCCGACCGGAAGAGACGGUACCUCCAAAGGAAGCACCGGCUAACUCCGUGCCAGCAGCCGCGGUAA
Molecule: ribosomal RNA, 192 nt
Filed under: uncultured bacterium
Lineage: Bacteria
Description: partial 16S ribosomal RNA
Rfam family: Bacterial small subunit ribosomal RNA
Source: RNAcentral